This 418-nucleotide unclassified non-coding RNA is filed under the name soil metagenome. Its description in RNAcentral is "partial contains 5.8S ribosomal RNA, internal transcribed spacer 2, and large subunit ribosomal RNA". The stretch from base 1 to 120 matches the Rfam family "5.8S ribosomal RNA", at positions 35 to 154 of the family's 154-position model. The record is from RNAcentral.
GAUGAAGAACGUAGUGAAAUGCGAUAAGUAAUGUGAAUUGCAGAAUUCAGUGAAUCAUCAAAUCUUUGAACGCAUCUUGCGCUCCUUGGUAUUCCUUGGAGCAUGCCUGUUUGAGUAUCAUGAGCAAAUCUCAAAGUCAAUUCCUUUUGUUGAUUCAAUUGGUUUUGCUUUGGACUUGGAGGCCUUGCAGAUUUCACAGUCUGCUCCUCUUAAAUGCAUUAGCUGGAUCUCAGUAAUUAUGCUUGGUUCCACUCGGCGUGAUAAGUAUCACUCGCUGAGGACACUGUUAAAAAGGUGGCCAGGAAAAUACUGAUUGAACCGCUUCUAACGGUCUAUUAAGUUAGACAAUUACCCUUAAGUUUGAUCUCAAAUCAGGUAGGACUACCCGCUGAACUUAAGCAUAUCAAUAAGCGGAGGA